RNAcentral lists this ribosomal RNA (1343 nucleotides) under uncultured bacterium. RNAcentral's name for it is "16S ribosomal RNA". It matches the Rfam family "Bacterial small subunit ribosomal RNA", at positions 28 to 1378 of the family's 1533-position model. The record is from RNAcentral.
GACGAACGCUGGCGGCGUGCUUAACACAUGCAAGUCGAACGGAAAGGCCCUGCUUUUGUGGGGUGCUCGAGUGGCGAACGGGUGAGUAACACGUGAGUAACCUGCCCUUGACUUUGGGAUAACUUCAGGAAACUGGGGCUAAUACCGGAUAGGAGCUCCUGCUGCAUGGUGGGGGUUGGAAAGUUUCGGCGGUUGGGGAUGGACUCGCGGCUUAUCAGCUUGUUGGUGGGGUAGUGGCUUACCAAGGCUUUGACGGGUAGCCGGCCUGAGAGGGUGACCGGCCACAUUGGGACUGAGAUACGGCCCAGACUCCUACGGGAGGCAGCGGUGGGGAAUAUUGCACAAUGGGCGGGAGCCUGAUGCAGCAACGCCGCGUGCGGGAUGACGGCCUUCGGGUUGUAAACCGCUUUCGCCUGUGACGAAGCGUGAGUGACGGUAAUGGGUAAAGAAGCACCGGCUAACUACGUGCCAGCAGCCGCGGUGAUACGUAGGGUGCGAGCGUUGUCCGGAUUUAUUGGGCGUAAAGGGCUCGUAGGUGGUUGAUCGCGUCGGAAGUGCAAUCUUGGGGCUUAACCCUGAGCGUGCUUUCGAUACGGGUUGACUUGAGGAAGGUAGGGGAGAAUGGAAUUCCUAGUGGAGCGGUGGAAUGCGCAGAUAUCAGGAGGAACACCAGUGGCGAAGGCGGUUCUCUGGGCCUUUCCUGACGCUGAGGAGCGAAAGCGUGGGGAGCGAACAGGCUUAGAUACCCUGGUAGUCCACGCUGUAAACGGUGGGUACUAGGUGUGGGGUCCAUUCCACGGGUUCCGUGCCGUAGCUAACGCUUUAAGUACCCCGCCUGGGGAGUACGGCCGCAAGGCUAAAACUCAAAGGAAUUGACGGGGCCCCGCACAAGCGGCGGAGCAUGCGGAUUAAUUCGAUGCAACGCGUAGAACCUUACCUGGGUUUGACAUGGAUCGGGAGUGCCCAGAGAUGGGUGUGCCUCUUUUGGGGUCGGUUCACAGGUGGUGCAUGGCUGUCGUCAGCUCGUGUCGUGAGAUGUUGGGUUAAGUCCCGCAACGAGCGCAACCCUUGUUCACUGUUGCCAGCACGUUAUGGUGGGGACUCAGUGGAGACCGCCGGGGUCAACUCGGAGGAAGGUGGGGAUGACGUCAAGUCAUCAUGCCCCUUAUGUCCAGGGCUUCACGCAUGCUACAAUGGCUGGUACAGAGAGUGGCGAGCCUGUGAGUGUGAGCGAAUCUCGGAAAGCCGGUCUCAGUUCGGAUUGGGGUCUGCAACUCGACCUCAUGAAGUCGGAGUCGCUAGUAAUCGCAGAUCAGCAACGCUGCGGUGAAUACGUUCCCGGG